AACGUAGGAGACAAACGUUAUCCGGAGUUACUGGGCGUAAAGAGCGCGCAGGCGGUCGUGUAAGUCGAAUGUGAAAGCCCCUGGCUCAACUAGGGAGAGUCAUUCGAUACUGUUCGACUCGAAGGCAGGAGAGGGAAGUGGAAUUCCGGGUGUAGUGGUGAAAUGCGUAGAUAUCCGGAGGAACACCAGUGGCGAAGGCGACUUUCUGGCCUGUUCUUGACGCUGAGGCGCGAAAGCUAGGGGAGCAAACGGG
RNAcentral lists this ribosomal RNA (253 nucleotides) under uncultured bacterium. RNAcentral's name for it is "partial 16S ribosomal RNA". It matches the Rfam family "Bacterial small subunit ribosomal RNA", at positions 524 to 776 of the family's 1533-position model. The record is from RNAcentral.